Molecule: ribosomal RNA, 496 nt
Filed under: uncultured bacterium
Lineage: Bacteria
Description: partial 16S ribosomal RNA
Rfam family: Bacterial small subunit ribosomal RNA
Source: RNAcentral
GAUGAACGCUGGCGGCGUGCCUAAUACAUGCAAGUCGAGCGAACAGACGAGGAGCUUGCUCCUCUGACGUUAGCGGCGGACGGGUGAGUAACACGUGGAUAACCUACCUAUAAGACUGGGAUAACUUCGGGAAACCGGAGCUAAUACCGGAUAAUAUAUUGAACCGCAUGGUUCAAUAGUGAAAGACGGUUUUGCUGUCACUUAUAGAUGGAUCCGCGCCGCAUUAGCUAGUUGGUAAGGUAACGGCUUACCAAGGCAACGAUGCGUAGCCUACCUGAGAGGGUGAUCGGCCACACUGGAACUGAGACACGGUCCAGACUCCUACGGGAGGCAGCAGUAGGGAAUCUUCCGCAAUGGGCGAAAGCUUGACGGAGCAACGCCGCGUGAGUGAUGAAGGUCUUCGGAUCGUAAAACUCUGUUAUUAGGGAAGAACAAAUGUGUAAGUAACUAUGCACGUCUUGACGGUACCUAAUCAGAAAGCCACGGCUAACUACGU